GGCGACGUACCCAAGUAGCAAGGGAACGGUCUGCAAAACCGUUAUGCAUGGGUGCAAAUCCCAUCGUCGCCUCCA
RNAcentral lists this transfer RNA (75 nucleotides) under Candidatus Omnitrophota bacterium. Its description in RNAcentral is "tRNA-Cys". It matches the Rfam family "tRNA". Rfam says of the family: Transfer RNA (tRNA) molecules are approximately 80 nucleotides in length. Their secondary structure includes four short double-helical elements and three loops (D, anti-codon, and T loops). Lineage: Bacteria; Pseudomonadati; Candidatus Omnitrophota. The record is from RNAcentral.